GAAUUUGGAUCAUGACGUGGUUCACAAGUGGGACAGGAAUUCGAGUUUUGAGAUUGGAUCCACUUGAUAGAAAGGAACGGCUGGGACUGGGAAAAGAGUUGCUCACAGAAAUCGAGGAUCUUGGAAUUGUAGAAAAACAGCAGAUUCGACAUGCAAGAACAAUCUUACCUCAAAAAGCACGAGUUAGUUAUCGCUGCACUUCGUCUAGUACAAUUGAAUACUGAGGUCAAACAUGUGACACCUCUUCGGUACAACACUUUCAGAUAGUACACGCGAGACAUGGUGAGAGUUCAUUGUUCCAUUGUAUGAUUCUUUAGUGAGACCUAGGUUUUAUAAACACGUUGAAGAACUUUAGGAGAUUUUUGAGGUGCCUCCAUGUGUUCCGACUGUCGGCUCAUACGGGACUCUCAGAAUCUUGUAACAUCGUUCUCCUAACAAAUUCUGUUAUUUCUUCUCGAUGACGACAA
Non-coding RNA from Physcomitrium patens, 467 nucleotides. Lineage: Eukaryota; Viridiplantae; Streptophyta; Bryopsida; Funariales; Funariaceae. The record is from RefSeq and is a predicted model, not a curated record.